RNAcentral lists this ribosomal RNA (409 nucleotides) under uncultured bacterium. Its description in RNAcentral is "bacterial SSU rRNA". It matches the Rfam family "Bacterial small subunit ribosomal RNA", at positions 28 to 441 of the family's 1533-position model. The record is from RNAcentral.
AUUGAACGCUGGCGGAAUGCUUUACACAUGCAAGUCGAGCGGCAGCGCGGGGCAACCUGGCGGCGAGCGGCGAACGGGUGAGUAGUGCAUCGGAACAUGUCCAUGUCGUGGGGGAUAGCCCGGCGAAAGCCGGAUUAAUACCGCAUACGCUCGAGAGAGGAAAGCCGGGGACCGCAAGGCCUGGCGCGAUUGGGUUGGCCGAUGUCCGAUUAGCUAGUUGGUGAGGUAAAGGCUUACCAAGGCGAUGAUCGGUAGCUGGUCUGAGAGGAUGAUCAGCCACACUGGGACUGAGACACGGCCCAGACUCCUACGGGAGGCAGCAGUGGGGAAUUUUGGACAAUGGGGGCAACCCUGAUCCAGCCAUUCCGCGUGAGUGAAGAAGGCCUCGGUUGUAAGACGUCUUUCGGUC